This 74-nucleotide transfer RNA is filed under the name Candidatus Jacksonbacteria bacterium RIFCSPHIGHO2_02_FULL_43_10. RNAcentral's name for it is "tRNA-Ala". It matches the Rfam family "tRNA". Rfam says of the family: Transfer RNA (tRNA) molecules are approximately 80 nucleotides in length. Their secondary structure includes four short double-helical elements and three loops (D, anti-codon, and T loops). RNAcentral also lists the same sequence under 3 other names. Lineage: Bacteria; Candidatus Jacksoniibacteriota. The record is from RNAcentral.
GGGCUUGUAGCUCAGUUGGCUAGAGCGCUGCAUUCGCAUUGCAGAGGUCAGGGGUUCGACUCCCCUCAAGUCCA